GAUGAACGCUGGCGGCGUGCCUAAUACAUGCAAGUCGAGCGAACGGACGAGAAGCUUGCUUCUCUGAUGUUAGCGGCGGACGGGGGAGUAACACGUGGAUAACCUACCUAUAAGACUGGGAUAACUUCGGGAAACCGGAGCUAAUACCGGAUAAUAUUUUGAACCGCAUGGUUCAAAAGUGAAAGACGGUCUUGCUGUCACUUAUAGAUGGAUCCGCGCUGCAUUAGCUAGUUGGUAAGGUAACGGCUUACCAAGGCAACGAUGCAUAGCCGACCUGAGAGGGUGUUCGGCCACACUGGAACUGAGACACGGUCCAGACUCCUACGGGAGGCAGCAGUAGGGAAUCUUCCGCAAUGGGCGAAAGCCUGACGGAGCAACGCCGCGUGAGUGAUGAAGGUCUUCGGAUCGUAAAACUCUGUUAUUAGGGAAGAACAUAUGUGUAAGUAACUGUGCACAUCUUGACGGUACCUAAUCAGAAAGCCACGGCUAACUACGUG
Molecule: ribosomal RNA, 497 nt
Filed under: uncultured bacterium
Lineage: Bacteria
Description: partial 16S ribosomal RNA
Rfam family: Bacterial small subunit ribosomal RNA
Source: RNAcentral